CUCCGAUGUGGAGCAGUGCUGCCACCGUGUGGACGCUCUGGAGCAGUCAGUGAGGUCUCUGACGGACGCGUUGCAGAGGUGCCCAGACCCCGAGGAGCUGAGUCGGUGUGUGACCUGGGACGCCCUGGAGGCCACGCUGCUCUGCUGCAGAGAAAGAGUGCCCAAGGUGAUGGGCGACCAACUGCCCCACGCUGUGCAGGACGCCAGCCGGCCAGCAGCUCCGACCGGUUCUGGACUGGUUUCCAUGGAGAACGGGUCGCCGAUGCAGACCGGUCCAACGACAGGCCUGCCGGCUGCCGGCGUCUCGGCGCGCUACUCGGAGACGCUGGAGGCCCUGAGGGCCCUCGGCCAGCUGGAAGCUCGUGUUGCUCCGCUGGAGGAAGAAGGGAAGGCGGAGCAGUCCCGGAUGGAUCGACUCACAGAGCGCAUCGCUAACAAGAGCUCGCGGGACGCGUCCAGCGCCCUGAUGGAUCAGCUGGACCAGCAGAGAGCUUUGAUCGACGGCCUGCUGAGUGAUCGAGACAAGCGGGACGGUCCGGAGGGCAUGAAGCGAACCAGCCCGGACCAAGAGUGCAGGUCGGGGGCUCCAGGGAGCCGGGAGUCAGACAGCAGAGCCUCUCAGGAGCUCCGGCAGCAGGUGUCCUCCCUCAGGAAGUCUGUGAAGAAGCUGGAGGACGACGUGAAGCAGCUGAAGGCCACGCAGGAGAGAACCUCAGACGGAGACCUCCAAGACCAGCUGGACGACCUGCGGCCCGUGCUGGAGGACACGAUGCGCUCCGUGACCUCUCAGCUGUCCGAGAGACCGGACCUCGAUAACGAGGGGGCGGUGCACACGGGCGAGAAGCUCAGCCAGCUGUACGAGCACUAUGAGCAGCUGCAGGACACUGUGAGCAGCCUCCCGGAGCAGCAGAGCGGAGGCCCAGCAGGGCUGCCGGACCCAGAGGCAAGACCCUCAGCUGGUCCUCAGCUGGUCCUCAGCUGGUCCUAG
This 988-nucleotide long non-coding RNA is filed under the name Cyclopterus lumpus (lumpfish). RNAcentral describes it as "lncRNA (ENSCLMG00005002062.1)". Lineage: Eukaryota; Metazoa; Chordata; Actinopteri; Perciformes; Cyclopteridae. The record is from RNAcentral.